AUCCCUUUAAGUAAACAGCCCCGAUUCUCCCAAUCAAUCCCCAAAAAGACAAUCACGAUGAUCUUCUUCCGGAGCUUUAGUCUCUCUGCCAAUCCUAUGAGACUCUACAAUCGAAAUACUCCAUUAUGUAGGAAAAUUUCCUUUUGUCCGGCAGCAGAGAGACGAGGCACCACAACGCCAAGCAGUUAUCUUAGCGAGGAAGGGACUCUCUUCGAGAACAACUUUGUGCAUUUGAGAUCUCGUUUUAGGAAAGGAAAGAUGAAUUUGCAAAAACUUUCAAUCAGGAAUCGACGAGAAAAGAAGAACUUGAAACAGAAAUGGAAGUUGUCAGGGAGAGAAUUGAAAUGUUGGAAUUUGAGAUAAAGGAGGCGGAAGG
Molecule: unclassified non-coding RNA, 376 nt
Filed under: Hevea brasiliensis (rubber tree)
Lineage: Eukaryota; Viridiplantae; Streptophyta; Magnoliopsida; Malpighiales; Euphorbiaceae
Source: RNAcentral